This is a long non-coding RNA of Alexandromys fortis (reed vole), 1178 nucleotides long. RefSeq lists it as uncharacterized. The record is from RefSeq and is a predicted model, not a curated record. The transcript has 8 exons. NCBI's taxonomy places the organism in Eukaryota, Metazoa, Chordata, Mammalia, Rodentia, Cricetidae.
GCUUCGCAAAAUUUUCCAGAAAUGUCCUCACCAUGGCCGAGUCGCACUCAGAACUCUAUCUAAAAGAACCUAUCUCCUCCACGAGAUCCGUUUGCCUCUCUCAGGAGUCCCGGGUUUAAAGGUUCUCUCUUUGUAGCCCAGGCUACCCUUCAACUCAAGACCCUAUGGCUCUGGCUCCCUUGUCCCAAGAUCUGCACCACCAUGCCCCCACCCUGAAGCUUAUUCUUAUACCAUCUACAACCCACUUGUUGACCAAUUCCUGAGGAUAAUAUACACAUGGAGAAAACAAAUGAUAAGCUGGGAAAGCCAUGGGACCAACUGCUGUAUGAAUUAGGCCCCUCGUGGGCUUUUGUAAUGGACGAUGGUAAAGAGUAAUCGUAAAAGUUACAUGUGGUUCCAUAGCCUCUGGAGACACUAGAGUACCGAGUGUGUGGAUGGUCCGCUGACGGGGCAGGCACUUCUAUCUACCCAGCUACAGAGAAGGAAUCCUUCUUCCACGCAGCAGUCAGUCGCAGCUUUGCACCUCCCUGGCUCUUCUCCCCUUCUGCUCAUGGUCCUUCCUGUCCUCACUGCUGGGCCACACAGGCACAUUCCGUGUGAGGUGUCAUUCACAUCUUCGACUAUUAGAUGUCCACAGAGAUCCUGUAUUGGUUUUUGACAACUUUGUCCAGAAAAGAAAUCCUGAUGUUAGUGUGGUGCCUCAAACCUGUAAUACCAGGACUCAAGAAGUGGAAGCAAAGGGUUUGACAUGAGUUGAUGCCAGGCGUGGUCACAUGGGUCCAAGGUCACUGAUGAGAAAGUCACAGCUUUUUGAAUAAAACCCAUCAUGCUUCAUAUGCUAGCACCUCAAGUUCCUGCCUUGAGUUCCUGCCCCAAUUUACCCAGUGAUGAACUGUGACUUGGAAGCCCGUGCCAAAUAAACCCUUUCUUCUCUAAGCUGAUUUUGUGUUGGAGUAUUUUAUAACAGCCCCAGAAACUGCUACUGUGACAGACUCUGUUGGCAGGCACGGGCAAGGGAAGUCACAUCCCAGACUAGUAUGGGCUACAUAAUGAAACACUGAAUCAAAAAGUAAAACCAAAACCAUAGUGAUAAGCACAAAAUAAAAGUGUAAAUCUACUCUUAGGAAUACAGGUCGCUGACCAACAGUAUUAGCUGUGUCAUGGAAUUCCAAUGCCUG